Molecule: ribosomal RNA, 483 nt
Filed under: uncultured bacterium
Lineage: Bacteria
Description: bacterial SSU rRNA
Rfam family: Bacterial small subunit ribosomal RNA
Source: RNAcentral
AAACUUAAAUGAAUUGAGGGGCCCGCACAAGCAGCGGAGCAUGUGGUUUAAUUCGAAGCAACGCGAAGAACCUUACCUAGACUUGACAUCUCCUGCAUUACCCUUAAUCGGGGAAGCCCUUCGGGGCAGGAAGACAGGUGGUGCAUGGUUGUCGUCAGCUCGUGUCGUGGGAUGUUGGGUUAAGUCCCGCAACGAGCGCAACCCCUGUGGUUAGUUGCCAGCAAGUAGCGUUGGGCACUCUAGCCAGACUGCCGGUGAUAAAUCGGAGGAAGGUGGGGACGACGUCAAAUCAUCAUGCCCUUUAUGUCCUGGGCUACACACGUACUACAAUGGCCGUUACAACGGGAAGCGAAGGAGCAAUCCGGAGCAAAUCCCUUAAAGGCGGUCCCAGUUCAGAUUGUGGGCUGAAACUCGCCCACAUGAAGGCGGAAUUGCUAGUAAUUGCAGAUCAGCAUGCUGCAGUCGAAUACGUUCCCGGGCCUU